GUAAUUUCGCAUCAUGUUAUUAUUAUAUAUACAAUCGUUCAUCUCGAUUACCAUAGGAUUCAUAUAUUAUACAAAUGACACAAUGACAUACAAUUCUAGUGCUAUAUCCUGUAAUACAUGCGUACCCACAGGAUUUGGGGUUACCUAGAACGAGGAUGUGAUAUAAAAUUUCAUAAGCAAGUAAGUCGAUCGUAGUAAGCCAACACCGAGAAGGAUGAGUUGUAUAUCAACUAAAAUAAAUUUGUGGUUUGUACUUAACUUGCGCGCGUGUAAUUACACACUGAUCGUAUUUAUAAUUGUUAUCAAAUACCAAACUGACGGGGUUUCUCUGGGUAAAUUUAUAAAAGUAGUAUGAGUAAAUUUCAGGAGAAGAAUAAAAACCGGAAGGAUACACCCGUAACCUGACACAUGCAAACUCACCAACGUUGCUAACUAAUGAAGAAGUUACACGGAUAUUUCUGCUUCAUUCUGAAAAAAAAAAUAAUAAAAUUGAAUUUAUAGAACAAACGGAGUUAACAGGAUUAAAAAAUCAGAUAUAUCUGCGGAUAUUUAGUUCUUUAAUUUUUUAGGCACUGAUGUCGAUUUCCACGCAUAUUCACCGUAAGGAUGGGAAUUCCAAAUUUUCCACAUUAAUGGAGGGUUUACCUUGAAAGAGUACCUACAAAAAGUCCUGACCGUAGAAGCCUGCCAUUUUUUUACAAUGUUUUUCCAAUAUAACAUUAAACAAUGUGUAUUACAUGACGUAGGAAUUUUUAUUUCAAUAAACUUUAUCAAAUUCUUAUCACAGUUCACUUUUAAUCCAUUGAAAGAAAAUAGUACAUUACGCAACAAGGGAAUAAUCGACUUUUAUUCACGUACCGCAGGACCCUUAUAGAACUUUAUUUCCGACUCAACUCUGGCUACAUUAUUGACUUGAUUAGUGGGACAUUUUUUGCAGUAUUGUGCGUAGAAUUUUUCUGCAAAUGGAUCAGUACCUACGCUGUUGUAUCGUACAGCACGCCUGCCACGAAUUUAGGAAACCGUUUACCGUUUACGAAAACUUAUUUUUUCAACAAUCAACGUUUACCGUAUCAUGCUGAUUCUUCAUUAUCUCAUCGAUAAUUCCAAACUUAUUAUUCACGUAAGAUAAUGCAAAACUGUGGAUGUUGUACGUGACAGUUAACAACGCAACUUGCAAAUCUUUAUUUUACUAACGUCGUUUGCUUAUCUAAUAACCUUCGUUUGAUAAUUGUACCGCAGGUAUUUUUUCAGCUAGACCUCGACCGACGAUGGAAAAUCCCCUGCCUAGAGUGGCACCUCUCCACUGGAAUGGCAAUAGUUUUGUAGGUUCAAGAAGAACUUUCACCUGAACUCCCAGGCUUUCUGACACGAGGAAACUUCGACCUGUUGAUCUCGGUUGACUGACCAGAAUGAAAUCGUUAUCUGCCGAACUUGACUGCAAUUAUCACCGUAACAGUAAUUAUGGAACUAAUGCACUUAUUUUUCUUCUUCCUCCAGCUGGCUAUCUUCUGACGGGAAUGCGGAUGUGCUAAAUCUCAAAACACUUCGUGAUACACCAUCAAUUAUUCCGUCAUGGUUAUUUUCAAAGUUCUUUUAUCACGUCUACGAAUAGCACCUCUAUACACUCUGGACAAGGCAGAAGCAAAAUGUUCGUCAAAAAGUUACGACCAUCGACAUAUAACGGCGAGAGACAUUGAGAAUUUGUUUAAAGCCAUUUCUGGACAUACCUGAGUGCGUGAAAAUUUAGGAGUUACGUCUGGAUACUCUAGAACGGUUGGAAGCAAGACAUUGUAUACAUUUUUACGACUACCUGAAACUGUUGGAAUAAAAAAUUAAGACGACAAGUCAAGUAUUCUCAUAGUAGUUUCAUAGUGAAUUUAUUUAAAUCUACGGGUUCACAAUAUCGACAUGCUGAAUUCAUUAUAUGCUUAAUAUCUAACGUGCUAAAUAUAAUAUAGGUUCUUAGUUAUUUAUUACAUUGAUUGAUGAGACAUAUUUCAAAAGUAUUUACCGAGGCUCAACGAUAUCAAGUCUGGUUUUCUAAUUUGAAAAACCGCGUCAGCUAAUGGUAUGAGUAUAAAAAAGAAAAACGAUAAAAAGGAGAAAAAACAACUAUCAAUACUACUGUUUCACGCAAAGUUGUGUUAGGCAAUUAACAGAAUCAUUUCUUACCGUCGAUAAAGAUUUAGAUAUAUGUAUAUUUAUAUUUCUAUGCAUAUGCAUACGCAUACGAGUAUAAUGGAUAGAUAUUUAUAUAAAUAUAAUCAUGAUAUAGCUCGUCAAGAUCUGUGUAUAAUUCUCUCGCCUACGCUCUACACAAUCAACAGUCAGCGAAUAGAUCAUAAUCCGUAGUAUCAUUACUCGUAAUAAUAUGAGAAUACCAAUUAUUCAUACAUACAGCAAUGAUCAGCCGUCUAGUGAGGAUUAUAUUAACAUCUUGCGUUCUGCCCUCCGCUAAGCGUUAGAUCAAGUCUCUGAAUAAUGCGUUA
Neodiprion fabricii is the source of this 2489-nucleotide long non-coding RNA. RefSeq lists it as uncharacterized. The record is from RefSeq and is a predicted model, not a curated record. NCBI's taxonomy places the organism in Eukaryota, Metazoa, Arthropoda, Insecta, Hymenoptera, Diprionidae. The transcript is spliced from 2 exons.